Non-coding RNA from Callithrix jacchus (white-tufted-ear marmoset), 7819 nucleotides. The record is from RefSeq and is a predicted model, not a curated record. NCBI's taxonomy places the organism in Eukaryota, Metazoa, Chordata, Mammalia, Primates, Cebidae.
CCAGUUUCAUUCUUCUGCAUAUGGCUGGCCGACUAUUCCAGCACCAUUUAUUGAAUAGGGAGUCCUUUCUCCAGUUUGUUUUUGCUGACUUUGUCAAAGGUCAGGUGGCUGUAGGUAUACAGAUUUAUUUCUGGGUUCUCUGUUCUGUUCUGUAGGUCUAUGUGUCUGUUUUUUGUACCAGUACUCUGCUGAUUUGGUUACUGUAGCCUUAUAGUAUUGUUUGAAGUUCGGUAAUGUGAUGCCCGUUGCUUUGUUCUUUUUGCUUAGGAUUGCUUUGGCAAUUUGGGCUCUUUUUUUUUGGUUCCAUAUGAGUUUUAGAGUAAUAUUUUUUUCCUCAUUCUGUGAAAAAUAAUGUUGGUAAUUUGAUCGGAAUUGUGUUGAAUCCAUAGAUUACUUUGGGCAGUAGAGCCACUUUAGUGAUAAUUGACUUUUCCAAUCUAUGAACAUGGUGUUCCCAUUUGGGUCAUCUAUGAUUUCUUUCAACAGUGUUGUCAUUCUACUUUUUUUUAUUAAGAUGGGGUCUCACUCUGUCGCCCAGGCUGGAGUGCAAUGGUGCAAUCUCUGCUCACUGCAGCCUCCCCCUCCUGGGUUCAAAUGGUUCUCCUACCUCAGCCUCCCAAAUAGCUGGGACUACAGGUGUGCACCACCAUGCCCGGCUAAUUUUUGUAUUUUUAGUAGAGACAGGGCUUCUACAAAUGUUGGCCAGGCUGGUCUUGAACUCCUGACCUCGUCAUAUGCCCACCUCUGCUUCCCAAAGUGCUGGGGUUAUAGGCGUGAGCCACCUAGCCCAGCCAACUCAUUUUUCUUGUAGAGAUCUUUCACUUCCUUGGUUAGAUGUAUUCCUAGAUAAUUUUUGUGUGGUUAUUGUAAAUGGCAUUGCAUUCUUGUUUUGGCUCUCAGGUUGAAUGUUACUGGUAUAUAGAAAUGCUACUAAUUUUCAUACAUUAAUUUUAUAUUCUGAAAUGUUACUAAAGUAAUUUAUCAGUUCCAGGAGACUUUUGGUGAUGUCUAUUGGGUUUUCUAGGUAUAGAAUUAUAUAGUCUGUGAAAAGAGAUAGUUUGACUUCCUCUCUUCCUCUUUCCAUGCCUUUUACCUUUUUCUCUUGCAUAGUUGCUUUGCCUAGGACUUCCAGCACUAUGUUGAGUAGGAGUGGUAAGAGUGGGCAUCCUUGGCUUCUUCCAGUUUCCAAGGGGAAUGCUUCUAGCUUCUUCUUUUUCAGUAUGAGGUAUGCUAUGAGUUUGUCAUAGAUGUGUCUCAUUAUUUUGAAAUAUGCUCCUUCAAUUCCUAGUUUUUGAGGAUUUUUAACAUGAAGAGAUGUGAAUUUUAUUGAAGGCAUUUUCUGCAUCUAUUGAGAUGAUUAUAUGACUUUUACUUUUAAUUUUCUUUGUGGCGAAUCACAUUGAUUGAUUUGCAUGUGUUGAACAAACGUUGCAUCCCAGGAAUGAAGCCUACAUGAUCAUAGUGGAUAAGGUUUUUGAUGUGCUGCUGGAUUUGAUUUCUAGUGUUUUGUUGAGGAGUUUUUGAUCUAUGUUCAUCAGGGAUAUUGGCCUGCCAGGUUUUGGUAUCAUAGUGAUGCUGGCUUCAUAAAAUGAGUUAGGGAGGAGUCCUUCCUCCUAACUUUCUUUGGAAUAGUUGCAGUAGGAUUGGUGCCAGCUAUUCUUUGUAUGUUUGGUAGAAUUUGAUUGUAAAUCCAUCUGGUCUAGGACCUUUUUUGGCUGGUAGGGUUUUUUAAAUUACUGAUUUGAUUUUGUAACUCAAUAUUGGGCUGUUCAGGGUUUCAAUUUCUUACUGAUUUAAUCUUGUGAGGUUUUGUGUUUCAAGGAAUUUAUUCAUUUCCUCUAUAUUUUCUAGUUUGGGUGCAGAGAGGUGUUCAUAAUGUUCUCUGAGGAUCUUUUAUAUUUCCAUGGUAUUGGUUGUAAUGUCAUCUUUGUCAUUUCCGAUUGUGCUUAUUUGGAUCCUCUCCUUUUUUUUUUCUUUUUGGUUUAUUUAGCUAGUGGUCUCUCUUGUUUAUUCUUUUUAAAAACUAUUUUUUUUGUUUUGUUGAUUAUUUUAUGGAUUUUUGGAUCUCAAUUUUUUUUCAAUUCUCCUCUGAUUUUAGUUAUUUCUUUUAUUCUACUAGCUUUAGGGUUAGUGAUAUGGUUUGGCUCUGUGUCCCCACCCAAAUGUCAUGUCAAACUAAUUCUCAGUGUUGGGAGAGGGACCUGGUGGGAGAUGAUUGGAUCUUAGACGCAGAUUUCCCCAUAGCUGUUCUUGCGACAGUGAGUUAUCGUGAGAUCUGGUUGUUUAAAAGUGUCUAGCACAUCCGCCUUCACUCUCUCUUGCCACCAUGUGAAGUUGUGCUUGCUUCUCCUUUGCCCUUCUGCUGUGAUUGUAAGUUUCCUGAGCCCUCUCGAAGCCAUUUCUCCUUUAUGGCCUGUGGAACUCCUUUAAGCCUCUUUUUUUUUUAAAUUACGCAGUCUCAGAUAGUUCUUUAUAGCAGUGUGAGAACAGACUAAUAUGGUUAGUUCGUUAUUGUUUUUCUAUUUCUUCUAGAUGUGAUGUUAGAUCCCUAGUGAUAUGUUUUGGCUGUGUCCCCACCCAAAUUGCAUCUUGAAUUCCCACGUGUUGUGGGAGGCACCUGGUGGAAGAUAAUUAAAUCAUGGGGGCCUGACUUUCCCAUGCUGUUCUCUUGAUAGUGAAUAAGUCUCACAAGAUCUGAUGGUUUUAAAAAGUGGAGGUUUCCGACAAGCCCUCUCUUUACCUGCCGUCAUUCAUGUAAGACGUGACUUGCUUCUCCUUGCCUUCUGCCAUGAUUGUGAGGUCUCCACACCCAAGUGGAACUGUCUUGAACUUGGCUUGAGGAAACUCUCAACUUAUUUAAUUUUGCCUCAGCAUUUUCCUUUGGUCAACAUUAUCUGGAGAAAAUUGACAGGACUCACAGUGACCUCCUGCUCAUUACCCUUCCCUCUCAGACUCAGCACUCGGUAUCAGCAUGAAACUAACAUGUUCCACUAAUUCCAGAGGUUUGACUGGGAACAAAAAGGUACUGGAUCGGGAGACAUUUUAGUGAGCAUGGCCUUUGGGGUUUGUUGCCUCUUUCGGUGGGGAGAGACGGGGUCUUGUUAUGUUGCCCAGGCUGGUUUCAAACUCUUAGGCUCAAGUGAUCCUCCUGCCUCAGACUCCCAAAAUGCUGCAAUGUGAGCCUCUGUGCCUGGCCAUACUGACCAUAUCUUAAUGAAGGAACUCGGAAGUUAGUAAAGGUCAAGCUGCAAAUUUCCCUCAAAGCAGUAUAAAAGAAGGAGGAAUGCUCACAAGUCCCCUGAUGGAUGCCUCUUUGUUUAGAAAUGCUUGCUGUUUGAUACAGUCAUCAAAAAUUGUGAAGACCUGCAUCCCUUUGUAUCUCAAGCAAAGACAGAGACCCUAACCACUGGUGGUGUCUAGUACGAUGACAUGAAGCUGGAGGAGUAAGCUGGGGCCAGGUUAUGAAGAGGCUAUGCAGGAUGGGGUUUGAACUUCAUUUUACAAGCACUGGCUCCUAGGCACAACCCCCAUACGGCUGCCGUUUGGCUCCUAGAUCUCUGCGUACCUGCAGUGCACCACAGUGGGCCCAGCACCUGGGCUUCUGUUGAUGUAGUCCCUGACAGUCCUCACAAACUGGAUCAGAGACUGAGUGGUUUCCGGGACUCCAUGGUCUGGCCACACCGUAUAGUGAAAGUGGCGGAUGAGUCUGUGUGCAUCGAGCUGUUCCUCCUGUAAGAGCAGAGAGCAGGAUAGUAAGAGGACAACUGAGCCAUGGAGCAAUUCCUAUGGGCUGAAACUACGAGAGAAGAACCAGCAAAAGUGGGAUUAGCAGGUCUCCUUCAUCUCCCCCAGCUGGGUUGUUAAAUGAAGUCAUAAGCUAACAUACAGUGCAUAUCUUAAACUCCCGGAUGGUCCACUCAGGCAGGACGGACUCUGAGAGCAUCUGCAGGAUGAGGUCCCCAUAGUAGAGGGAAUCCUGGUCCGCUGGCCAGUAAUGAUCACACUUUACCUAGAAGAUGACAGACAGAAACAACGUGAGUCCAGAAAAAUGACUCCUUGUGAACCUGAGCUUUCCCUCCUCUAAACGCCUUCCUGAGUUAGUUAGGAAUUCGGGAUCAGCCGCUAAAGCAAUUUGACCAUCUACUUUACAUUAACCUGCUCAUGGCCAGCGCUGAAGCUGAGGUGCUGCUGCAAGUGAAGGGGAGACCCUGCGUAAGGAGCACCCCCAAGCCCAAUCUGUAGAUUCACUCACUCUCUUAGGCCUAGGGAUACAUGACUUGAGGGUUUUUUCUUUUUUUAAAUUGAUUUUCUUAGCAUUUCAGUUCCACUAGCAGGUAAACUAUGGUUCCCAAUUCACUGUUGUUCUUUCUAAAGAAAUAUCUAGUUGUGUAGAGGAAGGCACUGUCUUCCUGGCCCUGCUUUGUUUGUAUUUAUAUGUCACUGUCCUAACUUGGGUCUUGUGCCAAGAGAUCUUUGAGAAGUCAGAACGUUUAGCUAAGCUUGCCUUUAUAUGUGCACAGACAAGGACAAGAGGAUUGUGAGCAUGUAUUUACUGAAUGCAGAUACUGGGCACUUUACAUGUAAUCUCUCUUUUAAUCCUCAAAAUAACCAUAUAAAGUAGAGGAUGAUAAGUGCAUUACAAGGGGUUUGCUUAAUUUGUCUGGAUAAUUCUUUGGCUUUGCGUCUGCCAACACAGCCUAAAACUCACUUCUCCUUUCCUGGGAGGAGGGGCAGGUUCCCCUGGCCAUACACUGAAGAUGGAGUAGCCAAGUGGCCAGGGCCAGGUAGUUUUUUGGUAAUAAUGGGCACUGCUGAAAAUCCCAGUCCUCAAAUGGAAACAGCUUUGACUAGCACUUCAGACCCAGAAUCAGGCAUCACCUGGGUUCACUAUUAGUGAUUUAAGUUAGAGUCUGUUCAAAGACUCUAACAAUGUUCCCACAUGAUCGCUACUUGGUUUUGCGGGGUUUCACUUGGAUGGAGGGGCAGAAUUCUAUCCAGGCGGCAGAAAGCAAAGCUUGGAUGUCAGGAAGGCUGUUUACUCACUCGGCCCUUCUCAACACACUGGGUCACCAUGACGAUGUUGUGAACGUUUUGUUCCCACACCAUUUUCCAGAAGUCAUCCUUGGUGCCAGGAAGUGGUCCCUGAGUGACAAUGUAUUCUCUUCUGAAGUUGUUGCCCUGCAAUGAAUUUACAACAUGGAGAGCUGGAAACAAUGGGCCACUUCAGAACUAUAAACAAAGGGUUCUUCAGAUUAGAUGACAGGGAGGCCUCUGCCAAGUCCCUGACUUCAGAAAAAGAUACUAACACAAGUGUCAAGGCUUGGGAGCAGGAAGGACAAAGGUCAGAACGUUGAACUACUGUUAAGAGCCACAUUCCCUUUUACUAGCCUGGGUCUAUUCUGAAAGGGGGGUCUCAGGAAACAAUCUAGAAAACACUUCAGCUUCAAUUAUAUGUGUGUGAGGGCAGGGGGCAGGUAUUUGUGUAGACUGUUUGAGGGGCUGUGAUCAGGCUCUUUCCCUAUUUAACAUAGAAGAGUUUUAGUCAUUUUAGAUAAUUAACUUCAGAAUACUUUGGUAAGACAUGUCUUGCAUGGGAAGAUAAACCUCUGUUGACUGAACAUCUAAUGUAUCUUGGGUCAGACUGACUUAAUCCAAACCAUAAUCCAAGAGCUGGAUAUUUUUUUUUUUUUUGAGACAGAGUCUCACUCUGUUGCCAGGCGCCAGGCUGGAGUGCAGUGGCGCGAUCUUGGCUCACUGCAACCUCCACUUCCCGGGUUCAAGCAAUUCUUCUACCUCAGCCUCCCAAGUAGCUGGGACCACAGGUGCGUGCCACCACGCCCAGCUAAUUUUUGUAUUUUUUAAUAGAGACGGGGUUUCACCAUGGUCUCAAUCUCUUGAUCUCAUGAUCUGCCUGCCUCAGCCUCCCAAAGUGCAGGGAUUAUAGGCUGGAGCCACCGUGCCUGGCCUGAGCUGGAUAUUUUCAUCUAUUCCUUCUGCACUACAUCAAUGACAACAAUUCCUUGUCAAUUCUAGUCGAAGCUCCUCUUUGCCUCUCCUCAGGGUCUCCACAUUAGGUCACCUCUGCUGUUGCCUCCCAACCCCUCCCCACCAAAACACUGCCUCUCAUCUGAUGAAUCCUUAAUUUAUCCUCAGCAUGGAGCCUGCUCCGCUGAGCCUUCCUUUACCUUUCUCUCUGCUGGGGGAUAUUCUCCUCCUAGAUGCCCCAUGGCAACCUCUAGCCUCUUGCUACUGAGUGUGGUUCUCAGACUCAGAUCAGCAGCACUGGAAUCACUCAGAGACUUGUUAGAAAUGCAGAUUCCCAGGCCCCGCCUCGGCCCUGCUGGAUCAGAAUCUGCCUUUGCACAAGACCCCAGAUAAAGCAGAUGUCUUUCAAUAUAGAAGAGGCACUGCUGUGGCAGUUUCUCGUGGCAUUGCCUUUUCUUGCCUAAACUCUUUUCUGAAAGUUUCUUUAGGGUCAAGAUUCCAUCUUAUCCCAUGCCUGUAAAUAGCUCAGUGUUUGACUUAAAGUUAGCACUUAAUUCAUAAGUGUUUACUGAGUGAAUGGAUAAUUGCUUGAAGUAAAUAUGAUUAUCUUCAGUGUUUGGAAAAGAAAAUGGCGGCCCAAAAAAGUGACAUAACGUGCCCAAGGUCACAGAGUCAACAAAGGGCAGAAGUGGGAUUCAAAUCUAGGUUUGCUUGACCUUAAAGCUUUUUCCACCACAGUGUGCUGUAGGAAGGUGGCAAGAUGCUAAGCAAAACCAGAGCCCAAAGAUUUGACAUAACCUUUGAGUUGUGUCUGUGGUUGUGAAGAGUCCAAAUAACAUGGGAUCAACUUCUCUAGCUAGGCAGCUUUAGCAGGGGAGGUCCAUCUUCCUUAGGAAGCUCUCAUCUCGGUUAAGGACUGCAGAGAGUAGAUGACCUAUGAAAAUGCAUCCUGGGCUCAUUAUAAUUUCAUUUGACUCUAGCCAUUGUGCAAAAUGUGGCUUUGCAGGAACUGAAUUGGAUACCCCAUUUUUUUAAAUGGCAUUCAGACAUGCUCUUGUGAAAGCUACAAGCAUUUCCAGACCUAAGAAUAGUGGGAACAUGCAGGAGUGGCAUCUCCAGUGUUGCCACCCACCAAAGCCUCAUCCUGAACACUGUGGCCUCAUAGUUCACUUACAGGGAUGUAGCUGGCGUUGAUGUAGUCAGAGCAAGGAUCAUCGUCUACAUUGGACAGCUUCACUCGCGAGGCAUCAUCUGGAAGAAGAGAUUUGCAGCUGAAUCUUGGGGUGAUUUUUCUAUAGUUGAUGUAAUGUGUGUGAUGUGCCUUAGUUCUGAUCCCCACAGUAGCCCCAGAUGGAAGGUGAUCUUAUCUCCAUUUUUGCAGAUGAGGCUCAGACAGGAUCACUAACUUGCCCAAGAUUGCACAGGUGGCCUGUAACCAGUCAGACACAGGAGACAACGUGAAGCUCCAUCUGUGCUUCCCUUUGUAACAUUGUCACAUUUGCCUGGUGGAGUGGCCAGCUCCUUUUCACUGCUGGAAUGAAUGCAGUCCAGAAAACCUGCCUCCUAUUGCUUUACCCAAUGGGGUAAGGAAAUUUAAGCAGAAAUUGCUAACGGAAGACUUUGCUAAGCAAACCCACGUCUGCUUGAUGUCAGAGCCCUUGCUGUUAACCCCAUUACUGUUCUUAGCCUCCAAAGAGAAGCAGUAGGACCACAUGGGGAAAUGUCAACAGCAUAAGAGUCCUUUCAUAAUCAGAAUUUAAACUGGCUAUUAUCCCUCUAGAGGGAAGUGCAGAAAUAUACAAGUUAUUUCUUAUUAAAGUCAUUCAGAGCUUGA